RNAcentral lists this ribosomal RNA (252 nucleotides) under uncultured bacterium. RNAcentral's name for it is "partial 16S ribosomal RNA". It matches the Rfam family "Bacterial small subunit ribosomal RNA", at positions 524 to 776 of the family's 1533-position model. The record is from RNAcentral.
UACGAAGGGGCUAGCGUUGUUCGGAAUCACUGGGCGUAAAGGGCGCGUAGGCGGCCGAUCAAGUCGGGGGUGAAAGCCUGUGGCUUAACCACAGAAUGGCCUUCGAUACUGUUUGGCUUGAGACCGGAAGAGGUUAGUGGAACUGCGAGUGUAGAGGUGAAAUUCGUAGAUAUUCGCAAGAACACCAGUGGCGAAGGCGGCUGACUGGUCCGGUUCUGACGCUGAGGCGCGAAAGCGUGGGGAGCAAACAGG